This is a long non-coding RNA of Gadus morhua (Atlantic cod), 579 nucleotides long. RefSeq lists it as uncharacterized. The record is from RefSeq and is a predicted model, not a curated record. The transcript is spliced from 2 exons. Lineage: Eukaryota; Metazoa; Chordata; Actinopteri; Gadiformes; Gadidae.
GUGAAGGGGGGGGUUUUACGACUGUUCAGUUUAGGAGUAACUGCAGAGAGGCUAUUUUCUAGAUAGGCUCGGUUCUUCUCCAUUGUAGUUCCAGUCUUCACCCAGGGUUGCUACUAUUGGUGUCUUUUACUGGGCUCCUCCAAACACAAGGACGCAGGGUGGUGUUGAAGGUUGAUGUAGAAGUUUGUAGGUAAUGGUGCUGGGGCUCCAUGUUGCCUUUUAUGAGAUCUUUCCCUGAGUGUGUGUGGUGAUAGCUGGUUUAACCUGUGCACACUGAUUUGUCAUUGUUCCACUAGUGUGCAGCCUCACCAAGCUCCAGAGUCCAACCAAACUGGGCCAGGGAGCAGCUGUGCGAAGGGGAUUACUUUACUUUGUUUGAUUUAAUUUUCCUCUGAGCAUUGUUUGUCUGAGCAUUAAAUUGUCUGCCUACAAAUAUUGUAUUAAGAAAAUUACAUUGUUAUGCUACUUAUUUAUUGCCCACCAAAGCAAUCCUAUUAUGUGAUAUUUAAACAAAACAAAAACGUUCAUAUUACUUAAAUUUAAUAUAACUUAUCUUUAAUAAAACAUUAUUAACCCUCA